CCCAUGAUCAAUCCCUCAUGCAUAAACAUAAAUUUUAGAUCUAAAUUCUAAAUUUCAGAUCUAAAUUAAUUGUAUGAAAUAAUAUGUUAUGAUCUUAAAACUACUUUUUAGAUCUAAACAAACAUUCACAUAUCUCAUACAUGAAUAAAAAUUAGGUCUAACAUAAAAUCUCUUUUCAAAAUCAUCCAACAUCGAUAUAGGACAACCUCUCCCACAUA
This 218-nucleotide long non-coding RNA is filed under the name Elaeis guineensis (African oil palm). RNAcentral describes it as "long non-coding RNA (EGUI_LNC048730)". The record is from RNAcentral. Lineage: Eukaryota; Viridiplantae; Streptophyta; Magnoliopsida; Arecales; Arecaceae.